CUCGGUUAAGGUAAGUGGGGUUGUAAUGGUUGAGGUUUUGUUAUCGGUAGGGUAGCCUAUUUUUCUUUCAUGGUAGCGUGUUGAGGGUAAUCGUGAAAUCUGAUGUUGCUACGAUUAUUUUGGUGUAGGGGAAGGCGAUGAGCAAUGAGUUUCGUUUCUUGGACUUGAACGGGGUUGUGGUGGUUCUUGUCAUUGGUUUUGAAAGGCUUGGGAGUGGUUUUGCAUCAAACGGAUACCAUAUGUGUUCCCAAAAUGCGAAAAACUGAGUUUUAGCGAAAGCCAAAAAAUUGCACUGUCGAUGCCACAUGGGCGUGUAGUCGCCCGUGUAGAUGGCCGUAUGCGAGACACAGCCUUGUGGUCAACGAAGGCAUAGUCAUGCGCAGCACACAACUGUGUGGUGACGUGAGUAUGGCCGUGCGGGCCACACGGGUUAGGCCAAGUUAGGUAAUCCAUAGACUUAGGUGGAUCAGUGCGGCAGAAAGUUAGCGGUGACCACAUGCCCGUACAUUACUAAAUUUUGAGGCUGAACUCGGCACACCGGAGGUCUCGGAGUUACGUGUUUUAAAUAAUUAGUUUAAGUACUGUUUUGAAAACUGUGGUACGAACUUUUGUAUUAAAUACAUAUAAGCAUUAUUUGGACUGAGGUUUUUUGUAAUAUCGGGUUUUUAUAACUGAGAGUUUUUACAGAACUUAAACAUUGUAAUGUUUUUCAGCUUGUUAAACUAAAAAUAAUUUUUUAUCUCUUCGGUGAUCAAUGUAACCUUUAAGAUUCAGUCAGAA
Long non-coding RNA from Gossypium arboreum, 780 nucleotides. RefSeq lists it as uncharacterized. The transcript is spliced from 4 exons. The record is from RefSeq and is a predicted model, not a curated record. NCBI's taxonomy places the organism in Eukaryota, Viridiplantae, Streptophyta, Magnoliopsida, Malvales, Malvaceae.